Molecule: ribosomal RNA, 468 nt
Filed under: uncultured bacterium
Lineage: Bacteria
Description: partial 16S ribosomal RNA
Rfam family: Bacterial small subunit ribosomal RNA
Source: RNAcentral
GACGAACGCUGGCGGCGUGCUUAACACAUGCAAGUCGAACGGAAAGGCCCUGCUUUUGUGGGGUGCUCGAGUGGCGAACGGGUGAGUAACACGUGAGUAACCUGCCCUUGACUUUGGGAUAACUUCAGGAAACUGGGGCUAAUACCGGAUAGGAGCUCCUGCUGCAUGGUGGGGGUUGGAAAGUUUCGGCGGUUGGGGAUGGACUCGCGGCUUAUCAGCUUGUUGGUGGGGUAGUGGCUUACCAAGGCUUUGACGGGUAGCCGGCCUGAGAGGGUGACCGGCCACAUUGGGACUGAGAUACGGCCCAGACUCCUACUGGAGGCAGCGGUGGGGAAUAUUGCACAAUGGGCGGAAGCCUGAUGCAGCAACGCCGCGUGCGGGAUGACGGCCUUCGGGUUGUAAACCGCUUUCGCCUGUGACGAAGCGUGAGUGACGGUAAUGGGUAAAGAAGCACCGGCUAACUACGUG